AGGACCCUCUCCCUAUGUAGAUAUAAAGGGCUCAUUCUAAGAUUAGUUGAGCUACUUCACAAUCUUUCCACACACCCCUGACAACAGUGCAGAAGUAUCCCAUGGGCAUUGUGGGAGACGCACGAGUAAACCCCUGCAUCAGAGACAUGGAGACCCUGUAUCUGGAGCCAGGUAGAGACGGUGUAGCGCUGGGGACCACCUCGAGCCUGAAAAAAGACCAGAU
Thunnus maccoyii (southern bluefin tuna) is the source of this 223-nucleotide long non-coding RNA. RefSeq lists it as uncharacterized. Lineage: Eukaryota; Metazoa; Chordata; Actinopteri; Scombriformes; Scombridae. The transcript has 3 exons. The record is from RefSeq and is a predicted model, not a curated record.